CCUAGUUCCAUACCACUCAAAAAAAGACAACAGGUUACAUCACAGCAGCACCUAGAUUAGGCUGUAACACUGACUGAAGCUAAAAUUAAAUGAAUUCAACGCUCGUGUCUCCAUUCUUUCUCUGCACUUAUAUAUCUGAAUAUCUAACCAGUAUGUUUUAUAGGUAAAUGCCAAAACCUUGGUCUCAUAGGCCAUAGCAUGGGCAGCGUUGGAUGACCCCAG
This 222-nucleotide unclassified non-coding RNA is filed under the name Hevea brasiliensis (rubber tree). Lineage: Eukaryota; Viridiplantae; Streptophyta; Magnoliopsida; Malpighiales; Euphorbiaceae. The record is from RNAcentral.